AAUUCGCCCUUAGAGUUUGAUCCUGGCUCAGGAUGAACGCUGGCGGCGUGCCUAAUACAUGCAAGUCGAACGGUCGUAGCAAUACGAUAGUGGCGUCCGGGUGCGUAACACGUAGCUGAUUUGCCCGUUAGCGGGGGAUAACGUCCCGAAAGGGACGCUAAUGCCGCGUAAGCUCUGGGGAUUUAGAAACCUCAGAGGAAAGCCUUUGGGCGCUGACGGAGAAGGCUGCGGUCCAUCAGGUAGUUGGUGAAGUAACGGCUCACCAAGCCGACGACGGAUAGGGGACCUGAGAGGGUGACCCCCCACACUGGAACUGACACACGGUCCAGACUCCUACGGGAGGCAGCAGUAAGGGAUAUUGCACAAUGGGCGCAAGCCUGAUGCAGCAACGCCGCGUGCGGGAAGAAGGUCUUCGGAUCGUAAACCGCUUUUAUCAGGGAAGAGAACGGACGGUACCUGAUGAAUCAGUCUCGGCUAACUACGUGCCAGCAGCCGCGGUAAAACGUAGGAGGCAAGCGUUAUCCGGAUUUACUGGGCGUAAAGCGUGUGCAGGCGGCUCUCUAAGUCAUGUGUGAAAGCGCUCCGCUUAACGGGGCGAGGCCAUGUGAGACUGGGGGGGCUAGAAUCAGACAGAGGCAAGCGGAAUUCCGGGUGUAGUGGUGAAAUGCGUAGAGAUCCGGAGGAACACCAGAGGCGCAGGCGGCUUGCUGGGUCUGUAUUGACGCUCAGACACGAAAGCAUGGGGAGCGAACGGGAUUAGAAACCCCGGUAGUCCAUGCCGUAAACGAUGUGAACUAGGC
Molecule: ribosomal RNA, 800 nt
Filed under: uncultured Chloroflexota bacterium
Lineage: Bacteria; Bacillati; Chloroflexota
Description: bacterial SSU rRNA
Rfam family: Bacterial small subunit ribosomal RNA
Source: RNAcentral